Molecule: transfer RNA, 89 nt
Filed under: Affinundibacterium amnicola
Lineage: Bacteria; Pseudomonadati; Pseudomonadota; Betaproteobacteria; Burkholderiales; Oxalobacteraceae
Description: tRNA-Ser
Rfam family: tRNA
About the family: Transfer RNA (tRNA) molecules are approximately 80 nucleotides in length.
Source: RNAcentral
GGAAGGUUCGCAUAAUGGUAGUGCACCGGAUUGCUAAUCCGGCGAUCUCGAAAGAGGUUAUGUGAGUUCGAUCCUCGCACCUUCCGCCA